GUUCAAAUGAGGAAAGGCUUAUGGUGGAUACCUAGGCACCCAGAGACGAGAAAGGGCGUAGUAAUCGAUGAAAUGCUUCGGGAAGUUAAAAAUAAGCAUAGAUUCGGAGAUUCAUGAAUAGGGCAACCUUUCGAACUGCUGCUGAAUCUAUAAGUAGGCAAGAGAUAACUUGGUGAACUGAAACAUCUUAGUAGCCAAAGGAAAAGAAAGCAAAAGCGAUUUUUGUAGUAGCGGCGAGCAAAAUGGGAGCAACCUAAACCGUGAAAAUGGGGUUGUGGGAGAGUAAUACAAGCGUCGUGAUGCUAGGCGAAGUAGCCCGAAUGUUUCACCCUAGAUGGCGAAAGUCCAGUAGCCAAAAACAUCACACCUUAUGCUCUGACCCGAGUAAUAUGGGGCACGUGGAAUCCCAUGUGAAUCCGCAAGGACCACUUUGUAAGGCUAAAUACUCCUAGAUGAUCGAUAGCGAAGUAGUACCGUGAGGGAAGGGUGAAAAGAACCCCCAUCAGGGAGUGAAAUAGAACAUGAAACCGUAAGCUCCCAAGUAGUGGGAUGAGCCAGGGCUCUGACCGCGUGUCUGUUGAGAAUGAGCCGGCGACUCAUAUGUAGUGGCUUGGUUAAGGGAACCCACUGGAGCCGUAGUGAAAGCGAGUCUUCAUAGGGCAAUUGUCACUACUUAUGGACCCGAACCUGGGUGAUCUAUCCAUGACCAGGAUGAAACUUGGGUGAAACUAAAUGGAGGUCCGAACGACUGAUGUUGAAGAAUCAGCAGAUGAGUUGUGGUUAGGGGUGAAAUGUCACUCGAACCCAGAGCUAGCUGGUUCUCCCCGAAAUAUGUUGAGGCGCAACAAUUGACUGGACAUCUAGGGGUAAAGCACUAUUUUGGUGCGGGCUGCGAGAGCGGUACCAAAUCGAGGCAAACUUUGAAUACUAGAUAUGACCAUAAAAUAACAGGGGUCAAGGUCGGCUAGUGAGACGAUGGGGGAUAAGCUUCAUCGUCGAUAGGGAAACAAGACGGAUCACCAGCUAAGACUCCUAAAUGAUCGCUCAGUGAUAAAGGAGGUAGGAGUGCAGAGACAACUAGGAGGUUUGCCUAGAAGUAGCCACCCUUGAAAGGGUGCAUAAUAGCUCACUGAUUGAGCGCUCUUGAGCCAAAGAUGAAUGUGGCUAAGUGAUCUACCGAAGCUGUGGGAUGUAAAAAUACAUCGGUAGGGGAGCGUUCUGCAUUAGAGAAAAGCCUCUGGGCGAGCGGUGGUAGACGAAGCGAAAGUGAGAAUGUCGGCUUGAGUAAUGCAAGCAUUGGUGAGAAUCCAAUGCCCCGAAAACCUAAGGGUUCCUAUGCAAGGUUCGUCCACGGAGGGUGAGUCAGGGCCUAAGAUUAGGCCAAAAGGUGUAGUCGUUGGAAAUUACUGUACUGCCCCUUGUUGGUCCCGAGGGAUGGAGGAGGCUAGGUUAGUCGAAAAAUAGUUAUCGGUUCAAGAACGUAAGGUGUCCUUGCUUUUUCAAGGUAAGAAGGGGUAGAGAAAAUGCCUCGAGCCAAUGUUUGAAUACCAGGCGCUACGGCGCUGCAGUAACCCAUGCCAUACUCCUAGGAGAUUUUCCAAUAUCAAUAGUUCAAACAACCAUUUACGUAAAUUAAUAGUUGUAAGAUAUCUAAUGAAACCAUCGCUGGAAUUGAGAUCUUAUUCAAAGAGAAAGAUCUCAAAUAUCUGGAGUUUUUUUUUGUAUAUUAUAUGGAUGAUCCGAUCUGGAAAGACUAUGAUUGGGAAUUGUUUGAUUGUCUUUCUCUGAGGAAGAGUUGAAAUAGAAUGAAUUUGAAUUC
Nicotiana sylvestris (wood tobacco) is the source of this 1819-nucleotide non-coding RNA. The record is from Rfam. NCBI's taxonomy places the organism in Eukaryota, Viridiplantae, Streptophyta, Magnoliopsida, Solanales, Solanaceae.